ACUGAGCGGCGGACGGGUGAGUAACGCGUGGGUAACCUGCUCAUACAGGGGAUAACAGUUGGAAACGGCCGCUAAUACCGCAUAAGCGCACAGUACCGCAUGGUACGGUGUGAAAAACUCCGGUGGUAUGAGAUGGACCCGCGUCUGAUUAGGUAGUUGGUGGGGUAACGGCCUACCAAGCCGACGAUCAGUAGCCGACCUGAGAGGGUGACCGGCCACAUUGGGACUGAGACACGGCCCAA
Molecule: ribosomal RNA, 242 nt
Filed under: uncultured bacterium
Lineage: Bacteria
Description: partial 16S ribosomal RNA
Rfam family: Bacterial small subunit ribosomal RNA
Source: RNAcentral